Melitaea cinxia (Glanville fritillary) is the source of this 295-nucleotide long non-coding RNA. RefSeq lists it as uncharacterized. Lineage: Eukaryota; Metazoa; Arthropoda; Insecta; Lepidoptera; Nymphalidae. The transcript is spliced from 2 exons. The record is from RefSeq and is a predicted model, not a curated record.
GCUCUUUUGAAACGUCCUCACCGUAUCGGAGGUACACGUUGCGGUCAGCUGACGGCGCAGUCUCGCCGGGCAGCGCCGCCGGAGACGCGACACCACACUCCUUUGUGUCGAGACGAUUAGUACACAGACCACGCUGGUAGCUCGAGGAGUGCAGCCCGCGAGGAUUUCCAGACUACACUACGAGUUCAGGUCCGUUGAAUAGUGUUGCUAUAACCAAAAAGUCCUCGCAUUAUGUUCCUCUAUGAUGAAGACAUUUGUAACAUUCUAAUUUUAUAAUAAACUUAAAAGCAACGAA